GGCAGCCUACGGGGGGCAGCAGUGAGGAAUAUUGGUCAAUGGUCGGGAGACUGAACCAGCCACGCCGCGUGAGGGAUGAAGGUACAGAGUAUCGUAAACCUCUUUUGUCAGGGAACAAAGGCGGGGACGUGUCCCCGGAUGAGUGUACCUGAAGAAAAGGCAUCGGCUAACUCCGUGCCAGCAGCCGCGGUAAUACGGAGGAUGCGAGCGUUAUCCGGAUUUAUUGGGUUUAAAGGGUGCGCAGGCGGCCUGUUAAGUCAGCGGUCAAAGCCCGGGGCUCAACCCCGGGCCGCC
This 294-nucleotide ribosomal RNA is filed under the name uncultured bacterium. RNAcentral's name for it is "partial 16S ribosomal RNA". It matches the Rfam family "Bacterial small subunit ribosomal RNA", at positions 333 to 624 of the family's 1533-position model. The record is from RNAcentral.